RNAcentral lists this ribosomal RNA (225 nucleotides) under uncultured bacterium. RNAcentral describes it as "partial 16S ribosomal RNA". It matches the Rfam family "Bacterial small subunit ribosomal RNA", at positions 923 to 1154 of the family's 1533-position model. The record is from RNAcentral.
GCACAAGCAGUGGAGUAUGUGGUUUAAUUCGAAGCAACGCGAAGAACCUUACCAGGUCUUGACAUCCGAUGCAUAGCACAGAGAUGUGUGAAAUCCUUCGGGACAUCGAGACAGGUGGUGCAUGGUUGUCGUCAGCUCGUGUCGUGAGAUGUUGGGUUAAGUCCCGCAACGAGCGCAACCCUUAUUGCCAGUUACUACGUUAAGAGGACUCUGGCGAGACUGCCG